RNAcentral lists this ribosomal RNA (207 nucleotides) under uncultured bacterium. RNAcentral describes it as "partial 16S ribosomal RNA". It matches the Rfam family "Bacterial small subunit ribosomal RNA", at positions 568 to 774 of the family's 1533-position model. The record is from RNAcentral.
CGCGCAGGCGGUUCUUCAGGUCAGAGGUGAAAGCCCAGGGCUCAACCCUGGAAUGGCCUUUGAGACUAGAGGACUUGGGUACGGGAGAGGUGAGUGGAAUUCCGAGUGUAGAGGUGAAAUUCGUAGAUAUUCGGAAGAACACCAGUGGCGAAGGCGGCUCACUGGCCCGUUACCGACGCUCAGGCGCGACAGCGUGGGGAGCAAACA